AUUCUGCUUGCUUUGGCAGAACAUACACUAAAAUUGGAAUGAUACAGAGAAGAUUAGCAUGGCCCCUAUGUAAGGAUGACACACAAAUUUGUGAAGUAUUCCAUAUUUCU
Otolemur garnettii (small-eared galago) is the source of this 110-nucleotide small nuclear RNA. The record is from Ensembl. Lineage: Eukaryota; Metazoa; Chordata; Mammalia; Primates; Galagidae.